This 421-nucleotide ribosomal RNA is filed under the name Helcococcus sp. canine oral taxon 069. Its description in RNAcentral is "bacterial SSU rRNA". It matches the Rfam family "Bacterial small subunit ribosomal RNA", at positions 9 to 441 of the family's 1533-position model. The record is from RNAcentral. Lineage: Bacteria; Bacillati; Bacillota; Tissierellia; Tissierellales; Peptoniphilaceae.
GAGUUUGAUUAUGGCUCAGGACAAACGCUGGCGGCGUGCAUAACACAUGCAAGUCGAACGAAAUCUACAUGAUUUAGUGGCGAACGGGUGAGUAACACGUGAGAAACCUGCCUUACACAGAGGGAUAGCCGUUGGAAACGACGAUUAAUACCUCAUGACACCGUGACAUCGCAUGAUGAUGCGGUCAAAGAUUUAUCGGUGUAAGAUGGUCUCGCGCCUGAUUAGCUGGUUGGUGGGGUAACGGCCUACCAAGGCGACGAUCAGUAGCCGAUCUGAGAGGGUGGACGGCCACAUUGGGACUGAGACACGGCCCAAACUCCUACGGGAGGCAGCAGUGGGGAAUUUUGCACAAUGGGGGAAACCCUGAUGCAGCGACGCCGCGUGAACGAAGAAGGCCUUCGGGUUGUAAGUUCUGUCCUUG